RNAcentral lists this ribosomal RNA (305 nucleotides) under uncultured bacterium. Its description in RNAcentral is "bacterial SSU rRNA". It matches the Rfam family "Bacterial small subunit ribosomal RNA", at positions 333 to 635 of the family's 1533-position model. The record is from RNAcentral.
GAGUUCCUACGGGGAGCAGCAGUGAGGAAUAUUGGUCAAUGGGCGGGAGCCUGAACCAGCCACGUCGCGUGAGGGAAGACGGUUCUAUGGAUUGUAAACCUCUUUAGGCGGGGAGCAAUGCCGGGCACGCGUGCCCGGAGGGAGAGUACCCGCAGAAUAAGCAUCGGCUAACUCCGUGCCAGCAGCCGCGGUAAUACGGAGGAUGCGAGCGUUAUCCGGAUUUAUUGGGUUUAACGGGUGCGUAGGCGGAUUUUUCAGUCCGCGGGAUAAUGUCCGGGCUCAACCCGGGGCGGCCGGUGAAAGUG